AGUGGCGGACGGGUGAGUAACGCGUGAGAAUCUGCCUUGGGGUCGGGGACAACCACUGGAAACGGUGGCUAAUACCGGAUAAGCCGAUUGGUGAAAGAUUUAUUGCCCGAAGAGGAGCUCGCGUCUGAUUAGCUAGUUGGUGAGGUAAGAGCUCACCAAGGCAGCGAUCAGUAGCUGGUCUGAGAGGACGAUCAGCCACACUGGGACUGAGACACGGCCCAGACUCCUACGGGAGGCAGCAGUGGGGAAUUUUCCGCAAUGGGCGAAAGCCUGACGGAGCAAGACCGCGUGAGGGAGGAAGGCUCUUGGGUUGUAAACCUCUUUUCUCAGGGAAGAAGCUCUGACGGUACCUGAGGAAUCAGCCUCGGCUAACUCCGUGCCAGCAGCCGCGGUAAUACGGAGGAGGCAAGCGUUAUCCGGAAUUAUUGGGCGUAAAGCGUCCGCAGGUGGCGAUUCAAGUCUGCUGUCAAAGCACGGGGCUUAACUCCGUAAAGGCAGUGGAAACUGAAUAGCUAGAGUGCCGUAGGGGUAGAGGGAAUCCCGGUGUAGCGGUGAAAUGCGUAGAGAUCGGGAAGAACAUCGGUGGCGAAAGCGCUCUACUGGACGGCAACUGACACUCAGGGACGAAAGCUAGGGGAGCGAAUGGGAUUAGAUACCCC
RNAcentral lists this ribosomal RNA (659 nucleotides) under uncultured bacterium. Its description in RNAcentral is "bacterial SSU rRNA". It matches the Rfam family "Bacterial small subunit ribosomal RNA", at positions 94 to 788 of the family's 1533-position model. The record is from RNAcentral.